GGGCGUUCCGGGGGGCCUCGUUGGAAGCCGGGAAACGGAAAUGGCCCGACACUCAGCGCAUCUGUGGAGAAAGGUGCGAGAGAGAUGAUGUUCCAGAAGAUUCUUGAAACCCUCUUUCCCUGGACCUCCUUCUCUGUCUGACACAUUGGGAAGCUGUUUCUGUUAAGUCACCCAGAUGUGAACGCAGGAGAAAAGAAUUCCCAAUGGCAAUAGAGAGAGAAAACCAUGCAUUUCUGUUCUUUUGGAGGAGACGGACGUGCAAAACUCUGGUGGCCCUGAAGCCGCGAAAUAGCCGGACGAUGUGGAGGUCUGGAGCAAGGGGGGAAACCCUAGAAGGAACAGACCAAACUGAACACCGUGAGAGGCACUCUCAGUUCAGACAUCCAGUACCAGCAUUUCUGGGAGUUUUUCUACCUGAAGAACGAGUCCCACCCCCCAAGCAGGCCCAUUGAGAGAUGUGGUGAAUCCUGGGACAUUUCACAUUUUAAGACCCCCCCUCAUGAUAUAUAA
Pogona vitticeps (central bearded dragon) is the source of this 510-nucleotide non-coding RNA. The record is from RefSeq and is a predicted model, not a curated record. NCBI's taxonomy places the organism in Eukaryota, Metazoa, Chordata, Lepidosauria, Squamata, Agamidae.